AGCGAACGCUGGCGGCAGGCCUAAUACAUGCAAGUCGAGCGCACCUUCGGGUGAGCGGCGGACGGGUGAGUAACGCGUGGGAAUGUGCCCUUUGGUACGGAACAACUGAGGGAAACUUCAGCUAAUACCGUAUGUGCCCUUCGGGGGAAAGGAUUUAUUGCCAUUGGAGCAGCCCGCGUUGGAUUAGGUAGUUGGUGGGGUAAAGGCCCACCAAGCCGACGAUCCAUAGCUGGUCUGAGAGGAUGAUCAGCCACACUGGGGACUGAGACACGGCCCAGACUCCUACGGGAGGCAGCAGUAGGGAAUCUUGCGCAAUGGGCGAAAGCCUGACGCAG
RNAcentral lists this ribosomal RNA (335 nucleotides) under uncultured bacterium. RNAcentral describes it as "bacterial SSU rRNA". It matches the Rfam family "Bacterial small subunit ribosomal RNA", at positions 29 to 391 of the family's 1533-position model. The record is from RNAcentral.